UACGAAGGGGACUAGCGUUGUUCGGAAUUACUGGGCGUAAAGCGCACGUAGGCGGAUUUGUAAGUCAGGGGUGAAAUCCCGGGGCUCAACCUCGGAACUGCCUUUGAUACUGCAAAUCUCGAGUCCGGAAGAGGUGAGUGGAAUUCCUAGUGUAGAGGUGAAAUUCGUAGAUAUUAGGAAGAACACCAGUGGCGAAGGCGGCUCACUGGUCCGGUAUUGACGCUGAGGCGCGAAAGCUAGGGGAGCAAACGGG
This 253-nucleotide ribosomal RNA is filed under the name uncultured bacterium. Its description in RNAcentral is "partial 16S ribosomal RNA". It matches the Rfam family "Bacterial small subunit ribosomal RNA", at positions 524 to 776 of the family's 1533-position model. The record is from RNAcentral.